GGGGAAUAUUGCGCAAUGGGCGAAAGCCUGACGCAGCCAACCCGCGUGUGUGAUGAAGGCCUUCGGGUCGUAAAGCACUGUCGUGAGGGAAGAAUAAUGACGGUACCUCACAAGAAAGCACCGGCUAACCCCGUGCCAGCAGCCGCGGUAAUACGGGGGGUGCAAGCGUUGCUCGGAAUUACUGGGCGUAAAGCGUCCGCAGGCGGAGCAGCAGGUCGGUCGUGAAAGCCCGGGGCUCAACCCCGGAACUGCGAUCGAAACCAUUGCUCUUGAGUCCGGGAGAGGGGGGUGGAAUUCCUGGUGUAGAGGUGAAAUUCGUAGAUAUCAGGAGGAACACCGGUGGCGAAAGCGGCCCCCUGGCCCGAAACUGACGCUCAUGGACGAAAGCGUGGGGAGCAAAC
RNAcentral lists this ribosomal RNA (401 nucleotides) under uncultured bacterium. RNAcentral describes it as "bacterial SSU rRNA". It matches the Rfam family "Bacterial small subunit ribosomal RNA", at positions 356 to 773 of the family's 1533-position model. The record is from RNAcentral.